AUUGAACGCUGGCGGCAUGCUUUACACAUGCAAGUCGAACGGACUUAGGUGCUUGCACCUAGGUUAGUGGCGAACGGGUGAGUAAUGCAUCGGAACGUACCGUGUAAUGGGGGAUAACGCAGCGAAAGUUGUGCUAAUACCGCAUACGAUCUACGGAUGAAAGCAGGGGAUCGCAAGACCUUGCGUUAUACGAGCGGCCGAUGUCGGAUUAGCUAGUUGGUAGGGUAAAGGCCUACCAAGGCAACGAUCCGUAGCGGGUCUGAGAGGAUGAUCCGCCACACUGGGACUGAGACACGGCCCAGACUCCUACGGGAGGCAGCAGUGGGGAAUUUUGGACAAUGGGCGCAAGCCUGAUCCAGCCAUGCCGCGUGAGUG
RNAcentral lists this ribosomal RNA (375 nucleotides) under uncultured bacterium. Its description in RNAcentral is "bacterial SSU rRNA". It matches the Rfam family "Bacterial small subunit ribosomal RNA", at positions 30 to 407 of the family's 1533-position model. The record is from RNAcentral.